This 423-nucleotide ribosomal RNA is filed under the name Triticum aestivum (bread wheat). RNAcentral describes it as "partial small subunit ribosomal RNA". Lineage: Eukaryota; Viridiplantae; Streptophyta; Magnoliopsida; Poales; Poaceae. The record is from RNAcentral.
AUGCUCCCGCACAGCUCGCUCGAUCCCCUUUCUCCUCUCGCUUUCCUGUCUCUCUCUCCACAAUACACCGCCGCCGCCGCCUUCACCGCCACCGCCGAUUCCUCCUGGGCAUGGCCGUCUCCGGCGCCGCCAUCAAUAGACGGGACUCCACCUCGCCCCACUCUACCGAUUUCCCGCCCUAGUCGCAGCUCUACGCCCCCGCUUGCGCCCGCACAGAUAACCCUAGAGUGUAGGUCGUGGGGGAGGACGGAGAAGAGGUCAUGGGGGAGGAAGAAGAGGAGGACAUGGAGGCCACGGGGGAGGAAGAAGAUGGCCCCCUCAUUCCCGAAGUUGGUCUUCGCAUCAACUGUGCUCGCUCCGCCUCUGCUUCCAGCGACCACGCCCGCCACAGUCUGUCACACAUAUCCAGUUGGAAUGCUAUGA